AACGCCUAUAGGUAAAAAAGAACAGUGAUUUCGCCUACCCUCAUCACCGUCCAAAGAUCAUCGCAUGGUCACGAUUGUCUGAUAGUGUUUCAUUUUUUAUUUUUUCUACAAAUCGGAAUGAUCUGAAAUUUGGAGCGUAUGUUCAUAAAAAAUAGGGAAUCUACGAAAAAUAUCAAAAAAAUAUUUUACAUGAAAUAAAUUGACCAAAAUAAUCCGAAAAAGUUUCAAGGAUAUUUUGGUCAAUUUAUUUUUUGUUAAUUAUUUUUUAUAUAUUUUUAUUAGGUGCGUCUCACUAAAAUGUACACACACUCCAAAUUUCAGAUCAUUCCGAUUUGUAGAAAAAACAUGAAAUUACUAGACAAUCGUGACCGUACGAUGAACUUUGGACGGUGAUGAACAUAACGAAAUUACUGUUCAUUUUCACCUAAAGGGGUU
This 435-nucleotide microRNA precursor is filed under the name Amborella trichopoda. RNAcentral's name for it is "miR8562b stem-loop (atr-MIR8562b)". The stretch from base 102 to 342 matches the Rfam family "MIR8562 microRNA precursor family". The record is from miRBase by way of RNAcentral. Lineage: Eukaryota; Viridiplantae; Streptophyta; Magnoliopsida; Amborellales; Amborellaceae.